GCCAGGUGUGGUGGCUCACGCCUGUAAUCCCAGCACUUUGGGAGGCUGAGGUGGGAGGAUCACCUGAGGUCGGGAUUUCGAGAUCAGCCUGACCAACAUGGAGAAACCCCAUCUCUA
RNAcentral lists this small RNA (117 nucleotides) under Callithrix jacchus (white-tufted-ear marmoset). RNAcentral's name for it is "Metazoan signal recognition particle RNA (ENSCJAG00000082164.1)". The record is from Rfam by way of RNAcentral. Lineage: Eukaryota; Metazoa; Chordata; Mammalia; Primates; Cebidae.